Molecule: ribosomal RNA, 486 nt
Filed under: uncultured Niastella sp.
Lineage: Bacteria; Pseudomonadati; Bacteroidota; Chitinophagia; Chitinophagales; Chitinophagaceae
Description: bacterial SSU rRNA
Rfam family: Bacterial small subunit ribosomal RNA
Source: RNAcentral
AGAGUUUGAUCCUGGCUCAGGAUGAACGCUAGCGGCAGGCUUAAUACAUGCAAGUCGAGGGGCAGCGCAGUGUAGCAAUACAUGGGCGGCGACCGGCAAACGGGUGCGGAACACGUACAGAACCUUCCUUCGAGCGGGGAAUAGCCCAGAGAAAUUUGGAUUAAUACCCCAUAGUAUUGCAGAGUGGCAUCACUUUGCAAUUAAAGAUUUGUCACUUGAAGAUGGCUGUGCGGCUGAUUAGGUAGUUGGCGGGGUAACGGCCCACCAAGCCUGCGAUCAGUAACUGGUGUGAGAGCACGACCAGUCACACGGGCACUGAGACACGGGCCCGACUCCUACGGGAGGCAGCAGUAAGGAAUAUUGGUCAAUGGACGAAAGUCUGAACCAGCCAUGCCGCGUGGAGGAUGAAGGUCCUCUGGAUUGUAAACUUCUUUUGUCUGGGACGAAAAAAGGCUUUUCUAAGUCGUCUGACGGUACCAGAGAAUA